Molecule: long non-coding RNA, 650 nt
Organism: Coccinella septempunctata (seven-spotted ladybird)
Lineage: Eukaryota; Metazoa; Arthropoda; Insecta; Coleoptera; Coccinellidae
Exons: 2
Source: RefSeq, a predicted model, not a curated record
GUUAAUGCUCAAAUAUGUAUCAUAUAUAUAAUAAUAAUAUAACAUAUCACUCCACUAUUUCAUCAAAUUAUUUCUUCCCUGAAAUACAAUUCAUUUGAUUACUCGAUAAUGUUGGCUAUAUUUUACGCCAUAAUUCUAUACUCAUUAUGAUUCCUACUGAGAGUGGACCUGAUUAGUAGAUCUGAUUAUAGAGCAAUAAUCAUAAUUAUGAUUUUUAUUCCCAACCAAUUAUUAAUCGAUUCAUAAAAUUUUCUUUUCGGAAUGAAGAUAAGUACUUAGUUGGAUUUCAAUAUGAUGCUCAAUGUCUCGUUUUCAAUUUUUAUGGUUGUUUUGUCAGUAAAUGCUCGUAGCAAUAGAUUGGAAAAUAAUUUCGCAGUAGAUCCUUCAGAAGCCCUAGAAGAAGAGGACGAAGGUUGGCAAAUUAUUCCGAAAGUGAAUAAAGAUAGUCGGGGCAAUGUUUAUGGUUCUCUUGCAGCUAUAAAAAAAAUUGGAAAAAUAGUUUUUGAGGUAAAAUGGACCAAAGUUAUCUAUGGCCCGGAUACAUAUGGAUCGUUAAAUGUUACAAGCUCGCUCAAUCUAUGAGUACUCAUUACUGAUAAGCAUAAUGUGACUCAUUAAUAAAGGCUACAUCAUUUUCGUAUUACAAGUCA